AUACUAAAAGCACAAUAUACUCAAUAGAGAGGCUGCCACGUCAUUUAAUUAAAUCCACCAAUCAGAAACAAUUAUUUGACCACAUCAGAACAGCUUUGUUUAGAGAAAAUGGGCUUUGCCAUAGUUUCCAAAAAAAAAUUAUCACGGCCAUCGAACCUGACAAUUCCAAAUUCAUGUUCAACUUCUCGAUUCUCUGUAAUCGACUCUUCCACUCUAUCUUCCAUCUCUGUAACCCUCCUCCUAAUCAAUCGUUCCCAGAUCUACUCCUCCCGAAGACCCCAUGACCUCAUCCCCAGCGACAGCGGCGACAACUACUUCCGGAGUUGUAAUUUCGACGAAAGACCGCCAUACGAAAGUCGACGGAAGAGGGCGGCGAAUCAGGAUGCCGGCUCUGUGCGCCGCUAGGGUUUUCCAGCUAACGAGAGAGCUCGGGCGCAAGUCCGAUGGAGAAACCAUCGAGUGGGCUUCUCCAGCAAUAAGAGCAACUGAAACCCCUAAUCGUAGAGCGCCUCUCUGAUCGAUGAGCAGCCUCUGAGAAAUAAUAUUAAACGAUGGAGAUAACUACAAUCUAAAGCGUGGAAUUGGAAGAGGAUACUUUUUGAGAAAGCUAAGGGCAUCAAGGAGCUGCCACUCGGCUAAGAGAUGGGUCCACUGGACUCACGUUAUUUACUUGGAAAGUAAUCUUUAUCUCUCCCUCUAUUGAGUUUUAGUUUGUCUCAUACUCAUGAUUCAAAAAUUCACUGUGAGCUAAUCAUAGAGACUCAACAUCGAAAGAUACACCUCUAAUUUGAUGUUGCUUUGUUUUAAUCCCCAGUCUUGAAUUUUGCACUACCUUUCCUUUUAAAAAUAAAUAUCUUCUUAGUUUAACUACAAGUGAAUUAAUAGAAUUACAAAGAUUAAGUGAUUGUGAAUAUAUGGCUAAUAUAUAUAAUGAUGUGUUUUCCUGUGAAACUGGUGUCACUUUGUCCCAAUGAUAGGAAAGAUUCAACGGCACUUUUCCACUUUUAUCUUCUAGGUCCCUGAAUCUACGAUCACACUUUGAUGAUCUAAUUAUCGUACUGCAAAAUUGAAUUAUUCCACCUUUGAUUUGGUUCGUAUAUGUUGUGUUAUGUUCAAUGGGUUUCUAUACUUGAACGUGCAUUUUAUCAAUCAUAUUGACUUAUUUUUCUGUCUGAGAAUAAUUUUCUACAUUAUUUUUCUUAUGGAUUUGCUUCCUACUUCUUCAAAGAGGAGUAUAUUUCAAGUGGCUCACGAUAUCAAAAAACUCCCUCGGGAAAUGUUACAGCUAUUGCCAAUGUUAAAUUUCAGCUAAUGAUUGGUACCCGGUUAAAGUAAGAGUGACUUUGUUUUCUUUCCUUCUACAGAGUCUCACAAGGUUUGGGAUUUUAUUGCAUCUGAUCAUUAUUGCUGUGAGAAAUGGGUAUAGGGAGAUGAAAGUAUCAUCGAAGAUAUCACCAGGCAUAUGAAGGAGAAUAACAUAUUUGGAUUGAGAAUGAUGAUAUUUUAUUGGUAAUAUGGGACUUGCGGACAGACCAAAUUCAGCAUCAAGUCAACGUUCAUGAGAGAGAGAGCUGCGAUGCAGGCAUACAAAGCAGCUAAAAAAUAUUGACCAAGGUGAUGAAGUUGUUGAAUCAGACAAGGUUUCCUAUGGACUAAUGAAAAAGGUAGAUGACUUGAAAGAAACUUGGGGUUGAUGGUCCCAGUAAAUUUGUGUACCAAAACUAACUCUUCAAGUGUACUUGAUGGUCUGAUAAUAAUAUCUCAAAAAAGAGAAUGACGAUGUGGAUGUCAAAUUUGGUAAAGGCUGGCUGCUUCUUUACAGGUAUAUAGAAAUAUUAGCCCUGUUCUUUUACCAUUUGCGGCGUCAGCGGUAGCGAUAGAGCAAAACGACGUUGACUGAGCUAUUUAUUGCCACUGGGUAACGAAGUGGAAGACUUUUUGCAACCAGAGGUUCUCACUGAAAAUAUUAGCGUCCAUGAAAGACGUCACGGACAACACCUGCGAUCACUUCCAGCGAUUAUUUAUGUUUCCACCAUGCUACUUUGCUCUCAACUAAAGUUACUUUUUCUUGCUGCUGUCGCUGCCGCAGCUAUUCCUUAACGGGCAGGGCUAUUAUAUAUUGUACAAUCCUUCGGAUUCAAUUGUGUUUCAGUUAUGAACAAUACAGCAAAGUGAGUCUGCAUGUAUUAUUCUUUGGACAUUUAUGUGCGACUCAUAAAAUGUAGUUGACACAUCAAAACAUUACUGUCAUGUUUGUUUCACAGUUGUGUUGUUGUGUUAAUGUUGAUGGAAUAUGCAAACAAUAUUUUAUA
This is a long non-coding RNA of Brassica napus (rape), 2312 nucleotides long. RefSeq lists it as uncharacterized. The record is from RefSeq and is a predicted model, not a curated record. The transcript has 3 exons. NCBI's taxonomy places the organism in Eukaryota, Viridiplantae, Streptophyta, Magnoliopsida, Brassicales, Brassicaceae.